GGCUCCUUCCACUAGAGGAGGAAGGAGAAAAAAAUGCCACGGUGGCUGUGCCCCGUGGAGGCUUCGGGGUCGGUCCCCUCGUCCCCAGCGAUGCCGUAUCGAAAUUAAUAUUUCUGGAAGGCUUGCCACUGUUGCACAGCGCUUCGGCUGAAAACAGGGACCGUGCCAGUGCAAGGAAUCUGAGUGGAGGGAUCUACCUGGACAGCCUUUUGUUAUGAUAAUGCUGUUGCCAGGAUAUGUGGCUGCAUGACAUCAAAUUGUGAAACCUAUUUGUCUCUUGGGAGAAGUUAACAUAGCUCUGAGAAACCCCUGGUUCAUAGCUCCUAUUUCAGAUUCUCUGUGACGGAAAGUUGACUUCAGUGCUUUGGGCAGCGAUGGUGGUGUAGAACGGGUGCUUACCCCCUCAUUCUCUGGCCAAAAGGUGCCAUGUUU
Molecule: long non-coding RNA, 432 nt
Organism: Columba livia (rock pigeon)
Lineage: Eukaryota; Metazoa; Chordata; Aves; Columbiformes; Columbidae
Exons: 4
Source: RefSeq, a predicted model, not a curated record